UAUCUAUCUUAUCUGUCUAUCUGUCUGUCUGUUUGUUUAUCUUAUCUGUCUAUUUAUUUAUCUGUCUGUCUGUCUAUCUAUCUAUCUAGCUAUCUUAUCUGUCUGUCUGUCUGUCUAUUUAUCUAUCUUCUGUCUGUCUGAUCUGUCUGAUCUGUCUAUCUUAUCCGUCAAAUGUAAAUAAUUAAAAUUUGUUUUUAAUGUCUUAUACCAAUGUUUUUCAACCCUUUUUUCACCUGUGGAUCCCUUUGAUUCUUAUUCUAUUCUCCUGGGCCCCCAGGUAGCCAUUUGAAGAUUUAAAUAAUCCCAUUAUCCGCUUGUUUGUUUGCCUGUUAUACUUUAGUCAGUUAGAGAGAUGGAGUAAAAGUAAGAGAGAGAGAGAGAGAGAGAGAGUGGGAGGAAUGUGAGUAGAGAAGAAAGAAGUGAGGAGUAUAAUAAUACAAAUGUAUCAUGUGGUUAGCUGAAGGGAGAGGCAAAGAGUGAAAGACAAAGACGGUGAGAGAAAAGUGGGAGAGAGAAGUGUUAAUGACAUGCUGUAAGGUGGGAAGGGAAAGGUGAAGAGAAAGACAGAAAUGUUAAAGACAUGAAGCAGGAAAUUAAAAUCUCACCUUUUUCCUUUUAACUAGUUUCAGUCAUUAGGCUGCGGCCAUGCUGGGGUACCCACCUUGAAUUUUUAGUCGAAUGAAUCGACCCCCAGUACUUAUGUAUUUAAGCCUUGUACUUAUUCUAUUGGUCUUUUUUGCUGAACCGCGAAGUUACGGGGGGACGUAAACACAUCGACACCGGUUGUCAAGCUGAGAUGAGGGGACGAACACAGAUACAAAGACAUACACACACACACACACACACACACGUAUUAUAUAAACCUUAUUGUCUACAUAUUAACCUCUUGGUUAACCUUCAGUUUUUUAUGCUCUAAGCUUUCUCAUCUUUUAAUCCAUUCUCAUCUUUUAAUCCUUUCUGAGUAAUUAACCCCCCUUGUGACCCCCUCAACUUUCCAUGUUCUCAACUCUCUUUUCUCAUGUUAACCCAUCUUAACUGUAACCCUGCUUUUCUCACUGUUUACUCAACUCCUAAUCUAUGCACCCUUUGUAAUUAAAGACCCCGAGUUAACCCUUUAACAUCACUCAGCUACUGUAACAUGUAGCAUAGCUAAUAUUACUUGUAAACUCUGUUUGAUUGCUGUGUGUUUACCCUCUGCCAGCCUUUAGCUUUCUAGCUAUAAACCCUGUUUUCUGUGGGUUAACCCUUUUAAACCUCUCAGCUGUCUACUGUAUAUAACCUUUCUCACGAUUUUCAGUUAGUUUUAACCCUGUAACUCUGUUAUCUGUAUAUUAAUUCUUUCACAUCUCUCAGCUAACCCAUGUGGCUUUUCUAUCAUUAAACCUCACCAAAUAUUACCUUCCUAUCUAUAAAACCCAUGUUUGUUUUCUGUGUUAACCCUCUGCUAGUCUCCAGCUUUCUAACUAUCAACCCUAAUUUUUGUGGGUUAACCAUUUCACUUUUCACUGCUUCCUUUACCUGCAUUUUGUUUAAACUGCUAAAGCUGUCAUCAAUUCAUUAAACCUCAUUUCUCACCUCUUUGUCCCUCCUCUUAUUUUUGUUUUUAAUUUGAAAUACAAGAUCUGAAAUUUGUUUUAUAAAACAAAAUUAAUAACAGAAGAGGCAGAGGUAUUGAUAAAAUUGGUUUUUGAAGUUGUACUAGAAUUAUAUCAAAUAGAAGAAAUAUCAAAUAAAAAUUAUUAUUAUUAAGUAAAAUUUAAAAAAUUUUCAUAAUUUUAUUAAUCAAACAAAAAACUUAAGUUUAAUUUUUUAAAAUUGUUUCCAUUUUUUUUUUCCUUAUAUUAUCAAGCAUUAUUAAGACUGUAUUUGACCAGCUUGUUACCAUAUUUCUGUUGAAGUACACUACUGUUGUUUAAAUCAUUUUUCCAAAAUGAUGAAGAAUUUAAUCCUUUCGUUACUGUAUUUCUGUUGAGAUGCUCUGUGUUUCUUUCAAUUAAUUUCGAAUAAACUUAGUAAAAUAACUUAGUUAUUAGCUAGUGUUAGGAACAUAAAUUGUGACUAAGGUUUGAUGGAAGAUUUGAAUUUAGAACAUUUGAAAACAAGACAUUUGUACUACAGAACCAAAAGCAGUUUCAACCAGGUUGGUAUCAAAAGGAUUAAAAAUAUCAUGGUGACUUUAACCCUUUUGUUACCAUAUUUCUGUUGAGAAGCUCUGUGUUUCUUUCAAUUAAUUUUAAAUAUAACAAAGAAUUUAGUAAAAUAACUUAGUUAUCAUUAAGCUAGUGUUAGGAACAUAAACUGUGACUAAGGUUUGGUGGAAGAUUUUAAUUCAAAACUUAUGAAAACAAGAUAUUUGUACUACAGAGUCAGAGGUGGUUUCAACCAAGUUGGUAUCAAAAGGGUUAAAAAUAUCAUGGUGACUUUAACUCUUUUGUUAGCAUAUUUCUGUUGAGAAAGGAUUAUCAAGCUGGUUUUUGGAACAUAAAAGAAACUUUGAUGGAAGGUUUUAAUUUAGAUUACUUUAAUCCUUUAGUUACCAUAUUUCUGUUGAAAUUGCUGCCUUUUUUUCCAUUAGUUUUAGAGAUUAUGAAGAAUUUAGGAAUAUAACCCCAUCAUUAUUGAGCUGGUUUUCGGAACAUAACAUGAAAUUUUGGUGAAAGUUUUACAUUUAGAUCACUCUAACCUUUUAGUUACCAUAUUUCUGUUGAAAUACACAACUUUAGUCUUGAUUAAUUUCGAAGAUAAUGAACAAUUUAGUAUUAGUACCUUAGAUAUUAUUAAAAUGGUGUUUAAAAAAUAUCCAAGAAUAAUUCUAUUGAAACAUUAUCUAGAACCGAUAACACCAUACAAAAGCAUUAAGCUUUAUUAUCUGAGAUAUUAUUUGGAAUUUAUCUGAUUAUUUUUAAGAAUAGCAACAUUAUUUGAACAAAUAUAUAAUUGUCUUUUCUUUUUUUUUCUUUAUCUUUUUUUAUUUUUGGUUCUCUAUAUUCGUUUUGGGCUGUGCCUUGAAAGGUCCAAUUACAUGGACAACGAAGAGACUGUGAAUCUUCCCCGAGAGUCCAAGAGACAGAAAUUGCAUGAUGAUUCCAUAGCAGACAGUUCUGCAUCGACUCCACCACCACCACCUUUGAUUCCAAUGAGAACUCCAAAGAGCAAAAAGGCAAAAUCCAAAUCUGGUCAGUCAUUCUCUCGUCAGUCUGCUGCUGCAGCUAAAAAAUCCGACAAGUGAAUCCGAAAGAUCCCAGGUUGAUAAUGGACGAAUGAGUUAACGAACUGACAAGGGGGAUCCCUAAGACAACGCCAUCCAGAUAUCGGAUUGCAAAGGAGUGCAGGGUGGGUGGGGAGAUUAGGGAUCUUGUGUGAAAGAUUUGGUGUGAAAUCCUGUUGUGAGGACAGUGAACAAAAGAAAGAAAGAAAGAAAGAAAGAAAGGAGAGUGGAUCAGACAACCACAAGGUUUCAUUGAAGAAGAAAUAACAAGGGAUUUUAGUGAAUGAAGAAUGAAUGAGCAAUCUGCUUGAAGAAUGACUGGAACCAUUCUAUGUGUCCAUAUAUGGUGUUUUGGAAAUAAAAGUAUAUUUGUUGUUGA
This is a long non-coding RNA of Octopus bimaculoides (California two-spot octopus), 3587 nucleotides long. Lineage: Eukaryota; Metazoa; Mollusca; Cephalopoda; Octopoda; Octopodidae. The record is from RefSeq and is a predicted model, not a curated record.